AACGGAGGGUCGCAUGCGGGAACGCGUAGUCGCAGCCCCGUUCCGUUGACCUGAUCUAUCUCUCCCUCCCUAUCCCCUUCGUCCUGCCUUUUCUCCCUUUGCUUCUCCGCAAAUCUCUUCGUCGCUUUUAUUACGAUUCGCACUUCUUAUUUUUCUUCUUAGAUUAAUGAUGAUGAGAGAAUUUGCAUUGGUUUCGCGAUCGAGGAAACUUCGUUGGAGACUGUCUCGGAGCACCGAUAUAUGUCCGUCUAUCUUUCUCACCCCUUCUAGCUCGUCUCUCUCACUUCUUUCUUCGCGAGUCCUCUCCUCGCGAGUUCUCUCGUCGCGCGACCGAAGGUGACGACGCGCCAGAGAGGUCGAACGGCGUCGAGUCUCAUCUCUUGGAGUGCGCGAUUUACUCGCCGAGGAUGGAUGAAGUAGAAACUGGUACAAUUUUAACAAACUAGGACAACAAAGCGAAUGCACGACUUUCCGAAUGUCCUUCGUGGUCUUCGCGUGUGAUGUGUCACGCGGAUUCGCCGCUAAGAAGAUUGACAGGCAAAUGUGGUUUAAUAAAGGAUGUAUUUUUCAAAAGUGAAGUCUCUGAAAAUCCCUAAUGAAAGAAGAAGGUCAAAGAGCGUGCAGGCGAGUGGCUUCCCUUCCUCGGAGUCGAAGAAUCGGGUUUUUCCAGGUCGAAGGACGGGCGUUUGCAGGAGCGGAACCGGCCUCAAGAUCCGACCGGAUCCACCCACGUUAUACCGCAUAAUAACGUUAGGCUUGCAAAUCGACUGGCAGGCACAACGUAAUUCUACUGCAGACAUGAUGUAAAUGAUAUAUGUAUCGGCGUGAUAUUACUGAUAAUUAACUUACAUUUUGUAAUAUUUCAUAAUUGUUAUAAGGUCUUUGUUAUCUUUCGUGCACAAACUUGAGAAACAACGCUGAAAAAAGAUCAGCUAUCAAAAAGAUAUUUUAUUUACUUUUUUUUCAUAUCUUAAAGUGUCAAAUAUUUCGAAGAAUUAAUUUCCCUCAUUAUACAAUUAAAGUUUAUUAAAAAUGUUAAUAAGAUAAAUGUGUUAAUAAAUGUGGAUUGCGUUUAAGUCUGAAAGUCGUAAAAAUGUAGGAAACGACCCUUCUUAUUACUUUAAAAAGAUUAAAGUGCUUAAGAAU
Ooceraea biroi (clonal raider ant) is the source of this 1146-nucleotide long non-coding RNA. RefSeq lists it as uncharacterized. NCBI's taxonomy places the organism in Eukaryota, Metazoa, Arthropoda, Insecta, Hymenoptera, Formicidae. The record is from RefSeq and is a predicted model, not a curated record.